This 424-nucleotide ribosomal RNA is filed under the name Verrucomicrobiota bacterium. RNAcentral describes it as "Verrucomicrobia bacterium partial 16S ribosomal RNA". It matches the Rfam family "Bacterial small subunit ribosomal RNA", at positions 355 to 776 of the family's 1533-position model. Lineage: Bacteria; Pseudomonadati; Verrucomicrobiota. The record is from RNAcentral.
UGAGGAAUAUUGGUCAAUGGACGGAAGUCUGAACCAGCCAAGUAGCGUGCAGGAUGACGGCCCUAUGGGUUGUAAACUGCUUUUGUAUGGGGAUAAAGUUAGGGACGUGUCCCUAUUUGCAGGUACCAUACGAAUAAGGACCGGCUAAUUCCGUGCCAGCAGCCGCGGUAAUACGGAAGGUCCAGGCGUUAUCCGGAUUUAUUGGGUUUAAAGGGAGCGUAGGCUGGAGAUUAAGUGUGUUGUGAAAUGUAGACGCUCAACGUCUGAAUUGCAGCGCAUACUGGUUUCCUUGAGUACGCACAACGUAGGCGGAAUUCAUGGUGUAGCGGUGAAAUGCUUAGAUAUCAUGAAGAACUCCGAUUGCGAAGGCAGCUUACGGGAGCGCAACUGACGCUGAAGCUCGAAGGUGCGGGUAUCGAACAGG